Molecule: ribosomal RNA, 433 nt
Filed under: uncultured bacterium
Lineage: Bacteria
Description: partial 16S ribosomal RNA
Rfam family: Bacterial small subunit ribosomal RNA
Source: RNAcentral
AACGAACGCUGGCGGCAUGCCUAACACAUGCAAGUCGAACGAGACCUUCGGGUCUAGUGGCGCACGGGUGCGUAACGCGUGGGAACCUGCCCUUAGGUUCGGAAUAACUCCCCGAAAGGGGUUCUAAUACCGGAUAAUGUCUUCGGACCAAAGAUUUAUCGCCUUUGGAUGGGCCCGCGUUGGAUUAGCUAGUUGGUAGGGUAAAAGCCUACCAAGGCGACGAUCCAUAGCUGGUCUGAGAGGAUGAUCAGCCACACUGGGACUGAGACACGGCCCAGACUCCUACGGGAGGCAGCAGUGGGGAAUAUUGGACAAUGGGCGAAAGGCUGAUCCAGCAAUGCCGCGUGAGUGAUGAAGGCCUUAGGGUUGUAAAGCUCUUUUACCCGGGAUGAUAAUGACAGUACCGGGAGAAUAAGCUCCGGCUAACUCCGUG